UGGGGAAUAUUGCACAAUGGGCGAAAGCCUGAUGCAGCAACGCCGCGUGAGUGAUGAAGGUCUUCGGAUUGUAAAGCUCUGUCUUUUGGGACGAUAAUGACGGUACCAAAGGAGGAAGCCACGGCUAACUACGUGCCAGCAGCCGCGGUAAUACGUAGGUGGCGAGCAUGUCGAUUCGAUUGGGCGUAAAGGGUGCGUAGGCGGAU
Molecule: ribosomal RNA, 206 nt
Filed under: uncultured bacterium
Lineage: Bacteria
Description: partial 16S ribosomal RNA
Rfam family: Bacterial small subunit ribosomal RNA
Source: RNAcentral